GGUGGUGCAUCCGGCCAAUUUCUAGGGUUUCUGUGGUUAUCCUAAAAGUCAUACUGAUUGCAUAUCAGUUAUCACACCGCACUAUUCAAACCCACCAACCACCAAAAUCUUCAAAAAUUUCAAUGGAGCUUUAACAAUGGUCUGAUUCAAGGGUGUUUUCUUUGGGUUGUUUGGGCAAACUAGCAGAUAAGGAUGAUAAGUUGCCGGGAGUGUACAAUGGUUACUUGAUUGUUAAAUGUUAAGUUCAGUCUUAUCGCAUUGGAUUUUAGGGGGUUUCGCAACGGCAUUUGCGGCCAUUAUCUUUAUUUGGUCCACAUCGACAUUCUCAUAGAACAAAAAAGGGACAACAUGUGAACACGUGUUACUUGCACAUGAGGGGAUAAAUGCUGAGCAGCUGGCACCUAAUUUAAAAUCAUUUGAGUUGAAGGUGCCAAAGGAAUUUUUUUAUCAGCCUAAAUGGUCUCUUUAAGACACACUUACAGUACAGGGGAACAUAAAAAUGGAAGUAGCUCCUUCAUUCAAUCAUGCAGGUAGCUAUUUGGGUCAUAUUAAGGUGACAAAAUAACUUGGUAAUCAAACAGAAGGAACCUAAUCUGGAAGGGGCGAAAGAACGGAUUAGACACUUGGGUCAGGAGUUGAGCAAAAGGAAUUAAAUGUCUCAUGGUCCUAAUGGUGUAGGAUGGAUGUUUCAAGUAUGGGUCAGUAAUGUUUGUGGUGUUUUGUAAUUGAUAUACUGCACUUGGUGUGGUCUAACAUUGUAAGC
RNAcentral lists this long non-coding RNA (763 nucleotides) under Helianthus annuus (common sunflower). RNAcentral's name for it is "sRNA HanXRQr2_Chr17g0824891". The record is from RNAcentral. Lineage: Eukaryota; Viridiplantae; Streptophyta; Magnoliopsida; Asterales; Asteraceae.